GGGAGCCAGCGAGGCAGUCGCGAACUGGACCUUCACAAGUUAAAGUGGGGGUUUAGUUUGAGGAAAGUCCGGACUCCCAAAAGCCCAGGCCGCUGGGUAACGCCCAGUACGCGUGAGCGUGAGGAUAGUGCCACAGAAACAUACCGCCUCCUUCUAAAGGAGGUAAGGGUGCAAAGGUGCGGUAAGAGCGCACCAGCAGUACCGUGAGGUACUGGCUCGGUAAACCCCGGCCGGGAGCAAGGUCGAAGGGACUACGGUUGGGCUUUUACCAGUCCCGCUGAGGGUGUACCGCUAGAGGUGAUUAGUAAUAAUCACCCCAGAUGGAUGACUGCCCCUUUGACUCCCUAAAGGAGUUGAAGGAACAGAAUCCGGCUUACGUCUGACUCCCCCCC
This 392-nucleotide RNase P RNA is filed under the name Geminocystis sp. RNAcentral's name for it is "RNase P RNA component class A". It matches the Rfam family "Bacterial RNase P class A". From Rfam's summary of the family: Ribonuclease P (RNase P) is a ubiquitous endoribonuclease, found in archaea, bacteria and eukarya as well as chloroplasts and mitochondria. Its best characterised activity is the generation of mature 5'-ends of tRNAs by cleaving the 5'-leader elements of precursor-tRNAs. The record is from RNAcentral. RNAcentral also lists the same sequence under 1 other name. Lineage: Bacteria; Bacillati; Cyanobacteriota; Cyanophyceae; Chroococcales; Geminocystaceae.